RNAcentral lists this ribosomal RNA (362 nucleotides) under uncultured bacterium. Its description in RNAcentral is "bacterial SSU rRNA". It matches the Rfam family "Bacterial small subunit ribosomal RNA", at positions 29 to 416 of the family's 1533-position model. The record is from RNAcentral.
AACGAACGCUGGCGGCAGGCCUCAAGCAUGCAAGUCUAGGGGGUGUAGCAAUACAUCACCGGCGGACGGGUGCGUAACACGUGGGAAUAUACCUUUUGGUUCGGAACAACGCAGGGAAACUUGCGCUAAUACCGAAUGUGCCCUUACGGGGAAAGAUUUAUCGCCAAAGGAUUAGCCCGCGUAGGAUUAGCUAGUUGGUGAGGUAAUGGCUCACCAAGGCUCCGAUCCUUAGCUGUUCUGAGAGGAAGAUCAGCCACACUGGGACUGAGACACGGCCCAGACUCCUACGGGAGGCAGCAGUGGGGAAUUUUGGACAAUGGGCGGAAGCCUGAUCCAGCCAUGCCGCGUGAGUGAAGAAGGCC